GAUCCUGGCUCAGAAUCAACGCUGGCGGCGCGCUUAACACAUGCAAGUCGAACGAGAAAGGGGAGCAAUCCCCGAGUAAAGUGGCGUACGGGUGAGUAACACGUGGGUAAUCUGCCUCUGGGUGGGGAAUAACUCUGGGAAACCGGAGCUAAUACCGCAUAAGACCGGAAGGUGAAAGGUGAAAAUCGCCGAGAGAGGAGCCCGCGGCUGAUUAGCUAGUUGGUGGGGUAAAGGCUCACCAAGGCAGAGAUCAGUAGCCGGCCUGAGAGGGCACACGGCCACACUGGCACUGAAACACGGGCCAGACUCCUACGGGAGGCAGCAGUGGGGAAUCUUGCACAAUGGGGGAAACCCUGAUGCAGCGACGCCGCGUGAGCGAUGAAGCCCUUCGGGGUGUAAAGCUCUUUCGGCAGGGACGAUAAUGACGGUACCUGAAGAAGAAGCUGCGGCUAACUACGUGCCAGCAGCCGCGGUAAUACGUAGGCAGCGAGCGUUGUUCGGAGUUACUGGGCGUAAAGCGUGCGUAGGCGGUGGCCCAAGUCUGGUGUGAAAUCUCCCGGCUUAACCGGGAGGGUGCGCCGGAAACUGGGCUGCUGGAGUACGGGAGAGGCAAGCGGAAUUCCUGGUGUAGCGGUGAAAUGCGUAGAUAUCAGGAGGAACACCCGUGGUGCAGACGGCUUGCUGGACCGU
This 690-nucleotide ribosomal RNA is filed under the name uncultured Acidobacteriota bacterium. RNAcentral describes it as "bacterial SSU rRNA". It matches the Rfam family "Bacterial small subunit ribosomal RNA", at positions 15 to 737 of the family's 1533-position model. Lineage: Bacteria; Pseudomonadati; Acidobacteriota. The record is from RNAcentral.